This 247-nucleotide unclassified non-coding RNA is filed under the name plant metagenome. RNAcentral's name for it is "partial contains small subunit ribosomal RNA, internal transcribed spacer 1, and 5.8S ribosomal RNA". The stretch from base 1 to 54 matches the Rfam family "Eukaryotic small subunit ribosomal RNA", at positions 1778 to 1831 of the family's 1831-position model. The record is from RNAcentral.
GGAAGUAAAAGUCGUAACGAGGUCUCCGUUGGUGAACCAGCGGAGGGAUCAUUACAGGACUCGCAAGACUCCUACAACCCUGUGAACUUAACUAUAAGCACGUUGCUUCGGCGGGUGUCUCGGAGGGGGUUCUCCCUCCCCGAGACGCUAAACCCGCCGGCAGCCUACUAUACUCUGUCUCUUUGCGUUGGCAUCUCGAGUACAAUCAAACAAGUUAAAACUUUCAACAACGGAUCUCUUGGUUCUG